UUAAAAAAAAAAAAAAAAGAAAAACAGAAAAAAAAAAGCCCUAGGAUUCACGUAUAGUUAGCUCUUUUCUAUAGAUAAAUCAUGUUAAAAUUGACAGCCAUUAACAAAUUGCAUGAUAAGAAUUGAGGCCAGAUUUGUCUCCUCAUGUUGGAACCCUCAUCACCUUUCCAAGCUUGCUAUGGAAAAUCAGCUCCACUUCUCUUCGGAGGCUUUCCGUAUCCAUUGCAAAAUCUCUAUGAUAUUCUUCUACCAACAGAUCUUGCAGUUGCAGCCUCAUUCUCUCCAAAGCAUCAUCCAAGCCACACAAGUCCUUGAAAACCAAAGCUUCAGUUGUUUUGAGUCGCAGGAGAUUCUUGAUUGCAACAAGGGCCUUUUCUUGGAGAUCAAGGUCUGUCGAUGCUGUUAGAUCGACUAUAGACUUUAGGAAGAAGUGAUUUCUGAAGAAAGGCAGCUCAGCUCUUCCUACAUUUUCUAGCUGACAUUCAGCCAGAUCAGCAACCAGAAAAACAGCUUUCUUCUGGAGUCUGAUAUCAAUGCUCAAGUUGCUCAGUAUGUCCUGAAGCAUCUUAUCUCCAGCUUCUGCAUAAAACAAUUCCUGACCACCUACAUUAUUUCGGAUCAAGGCUGAAACAGCAUAUAAUGCUUUUAUGGAUUCUUCUAUGGAAGUCGAUUUUACCAUCUUCAUUAGCUUAGUGAGUGCCCCAAGUUCCAAGACCUAAGAGCGUUGAAUAUCAUGAAUUAGCCCAGGACACAAAGCAAAUACAACAAGGAACAUGUAUUAUUGUUGAUAACAGAAAAGAAAAUGAAAACAUAAGGAAGAACUUUUCAACUGGAAACUAGCAAAAGUGCAUUCCAGAAGUUGACAAAGGAAUUAUGCCUGUUUCUGGACAAAUGCAUUAUUUUGACUUGCUUUCCCAAGAACCCAUGCAGAAACUCUCCUUAUAUCUGAAUCAGGGUGAUUAAGCUCUCGUAUUAAUACAUGAAGGCCACCGAGUUUUGUCAAAUCUUGCAUACACAAAAGCAGCAGUGUUAGCCCCUACUAUUGCAGCAAAAAAACAAAUUCAGAACUCAGACAAACACCCACCACAUAAAAAAAAAACAAUGAAAGGGGUAAAAUUCUGUGAUGUUGCAGUGUCACAGUUACAAUGGAUCUUUUACAUUUUCCACAAUGCAAAAAAUAUCGUCAUUCACAAUUUAGAAAUAGUUAAAAAGUAAUGGGAGAUUCAAUAUCAUGCUUACUGGGUUGCCUUCAUUACUAUGAUAUGAUAUAAUGGUAAUAAGGGAUCAAGUGACAAGAAUAAUAUGAAAAUAAUCUUACUCACACGAAUACUUCUUUUUGUUGGGGGUUGGGUAAAAUGUUGCGGGGCUUGGGGAACCCAGUAUUCUCACUUUCCUGAUGUUUCCUAAUUUGCUGAAGACAUAGCAUCUAAGUAAAUAACCCAUGUUCCAUGUAUGCCACCACAUCACAAAUCUCAAAGAACUCACAAACUCAAAGGAAUAUGAUCUAAAACUAUGCCAAAAGUCCUGCUACUGUGAUACUCCAACUAAAGAGAUUACGAAUGACAAUAACAUGACUAAGCCUCCACUAAACUGUACCAUAUACUAAUGGGACAAAUUCAACAGCCAUGCGAUUUUUUAAUUUUAGUCAAAUGCAAGGAUGCAGAAAGAACGGGAGGUGAACAUAAAGAUUCUGCUGCACAGAGCAAAUCUUUGCCAAGGAAUUUGGAUAAAUGAUGUGAACUCCAUAUUAAGGGAGACAAGGUAACCCAAGAGUCCAAAGAGAAUUAUUAUCGGCAGCAGUGUCCUAGAUGCAGAAGCAUUAGCUGGCACCUUACAAUGUUUUUUAAAUUUAGCAAAAUAUGACUAAACAUCAGGGCUUCCAGUAAAACCCCAUGUAAAUUAAAUGUUAUAACCUAAAAGUCCUCCUAAAUACUCAAAGCUAUUAUAAAACUUCAGCGAUAGUCACCAUGAAAACAGCUUAUCCAGAAAUUUAUUCUAAUCUAAAAUAAAACACAAAGAAAAAGAAACAAAAAAGGGGGGGAAAAAAAACAACACUAUCUAAGUGUCUCUGGACAAACAUGUUAGAAAAUGCAAACUAUCCUAUUGCUUUACUCGUUCACAAGCAUACGAUUGGAGGAAUAAGCGAGUUAUGUACUGUUAGUGACUGCCCAUGAUUAUCAUGAACUAGGGGCUAACUGAUAAAAGGUGGCGAGGGGACAAGGUAGAUGUUGACCCCACAAGCUCAAAGG
This 2249-nucleotide unclassified non-coding RNA is filed under the name Hevea brasiliensis (rubber tree). The record is from RNAcentral. Lineage: Eukaryota; Viridiplantae; Streptophyta; Magnoliopsida; Malpighiales; Euphorbiaceae.